This 58-nucleotide transfer RNA is filed under the name Loxodonta africana (African savanna elephant). It matches the Rfam family "tRNA", at positions 8 to 63 of the family's 71-position model. From Rfam's summary of the family: Transfer RNA (tRNA) molecules are approximately 80 nucleotides in length. Their secondary structure includes four short double-helical elements and three loops (D, anti-codon, and T loops). Lineage: Eukaryota; Metazoa; Chordata; Mammalia; Proboscidea; Elephantidae. The record is from Rfam by way of RNAcentral.
UGGCACAGUGGUUAAAGUGCUGGGCUUCUAACCCAAAGGUUGGUGGUUCGAACCCACC